Peromyscus californicus insignis is the source of this 7088-nucleotide long non-coding RNA. RefSeq lists it as uncharacterized. The record is from RefSeq and is a predicted model, not a curated record. The transcript has 5 exons. Lineage: Eukaryota; Metazoa; Chordata; Mammalia; Rodentia; Cricetidae.
UGAAAUUCUUAUAAGAGAAGAUACGGCCCGAAUUGUAACCAAAAACCAAAAAUCACGUUCAAUCUAAAAUUCUAAAGUCAGCCAGCCAGACCAUCUACAAAGUAUGAGGAUAAAAUGAAAAUUUUCAGGCAUGGAGGACCUCAAAUAAUUGCUCUUUCCCAGGCACCCCAUUCUUAGGACUCUACUGAGGACACACACACACACACACACACAGCCAGCAAAGGAAAGCAAAUCAAGGAAACAGAAGACAAGCGACCAAGAGAGGACAGAGAGGCACACAAAGUGCUACUGUCCAGCCUGAAGCAAGAGUAUGGAUGACACUAAAUCAAGACAUCGCUAAGAAAAAUCCAAUGGAACUAACAGAUGUCUUGAUACGCUACCUGGAGUGGGGGUGGGAAAUCAAAAGCGCUCGGCAUGUACCUGGGGGAAUAUAUGCAGAGACACAAAGCAGACUAAUCAGAAAAGCUUAAAAUCCAACUAAUUUGCUCUGGGGAAACAAAAUCGGGGUAGGGGUGGGGCAACCAGCUUCUAUUUAACUCAGAAAAGGGCAAUGUAUUUGUACACAGUAAUAUCAACACUGACUGCUGGUUUAAAAAUGCACUGGAGGGGCUGGAGAGAUGGCUCAGUGGUUAAGAACACUGGCUGCUCUUCCAGAGGACCCGGGUUCAAUUCCCAGCACCCACAUGGCAGCUCACAACUGUUUAUAACUCCAGUUCCAGGGGAUCCAACACUCUCAUAUAGGCAAAACUCCAAUGCACAUGAAAUAAAAAUAAGUCAUUUAAAGUUUAGAAAAAAAAAAGUGCACUGGAGAGUACGGGGUACAGGGAUGAUUCCAGAAGACAAAUGCUCAUUCCACACUGGUCGAGAAAUUCAAAAGAAAAACGAGAAAAUAAACAGAAGAACAGUUUAGGGAACUAUGAGCACUGCGGAGUGGGGCCCAGGUAAAAAGAGACCAAAGGAAGGUUGCUGGCAGUUUCUGGUUUCAGCCCUUUUUUGUUACUGGAUUGGUUUUCGCUGUGUGCUUAUAGUGACUGCAUUAAAACCUCUUCUAUGAAGCACAACCAGUUCAGCAUGUAAAGUUGUCACGACUGACUUCUAAGCUUCUACUUGGCCUUCUGAAUUCACUGUCCACGAAAUGUUGUGAGAUGAAGAUUAGCUUGUCGAAGCUUCUGGAAGGCGCUCAACCUUUUAAGCAUUCGAGAAUGUGGCAGGAAGCACUAUCUCAAGUAGUCUUGCACACCAUAAUAGCUAUCACGUUCAGGAGGCCCCGCAUACAUCCCACUACUUACUUUUUGCCACCCAGACAAAGCCAGAGAAUCCUUCAAAGGCAGCGCACCUGAGGGAGACACUACGGGACAGAAAGAGGCCCUAGCUCUGGUACAUGAAGAUCUAGAGGCCACACUGUAACCGGUCAACUCAGUUUGCACGGCAGAAAAUACCCACGGGUGGAUGAGAGAGUCCAAGGAGGCAAGCUCCUCACCUCCACUCCACUUCCACACUGCUCACUUCUGGACAUACUCGCCAAGUACUCAGCAUCAGGAGCUUAUGCAGCUACAAAUCCUAAGAAAAUCAGUUCCUGGCUACAAAAGAGCCCUUUCAGGUACUAAUGAGCAGUGGUCUCUUUUCCAACAUGCCAUAAUCAAACUUUUUUUUUUGGAGCUGAGGAUCGAACCCAGGGCCUUGCGCUUGCUAGGCAAGCACUAAAUCCCCAACCCUAUAAUCAAACUUCUUUAUGCACAAUAUCUUCAUGCCUUAAGCUUAGUCUGCAGCCAGUAAACACUGUUUUGUGUGGGUUUAAACUAUAUGUGUAAUGUAUGGAAUAAGCCCUGUUACCUUAAGUGGGUUAUUUAAAGCCUCACUUUUCUCAUCUCCCCUGAUACCUACCCCACUGGGUAACAAGAACCUGAGAAGAACUGACAUAUAUAGAUCCACAUUGCUCCCCAGCAAGAUGGCUCACAGCUAAAGGUGCUUGUUGUCAAGCUGUAUCAUCUGAGCUCCAGCCCUGGGACCCAUACUGUGGAGGGGGACAAUCUACUCCCUCAAGCUGUCCUCUGACCUCCACACAACACACAUAAAAAUAAACACAACAUAUCAUGGUAUACACACACAAAUAAAUAAAUAAAUAAAUAAAUAAAUAAGGUAGCAAAACUCUAAUGUGCAGUGGAAGAUACAUGCAAACACUCCGUCCAUGUCUGCAGCUAGCUGUUUCUGUUCCCCUACUUCCAUCCUGGCUGAGAUAGGAGAGGAAGUACAUGUCAACAAAGUCACAAUUAUGUCAGUUCUUUUAACAACAAAAGACAACACUUUACAAAAGCAUGCCUAUGAGUUGCUUCACAAAUCGUUAUUUUUCCUAAGCCCUUCUUCCAUGCUCCAGGAGUAAUUUAGAUGCAGUUUCAAUUCUGCUAGACAAAAUUCAAUUAAUUCAACUAGCCUCUAAGGAAGAUUAAGACAGGGCGUUACAAAAACACAAUUCCUCUUUGGUUAAAGAGUACCAACCCACACAUACAGCAAUGUCUAAACAGUCUGCUAAAAGCAAUUUCAUUCGGAUUCUGAGCUCUCUCAACCUACCUGAAGAAACUUCACUAAAAAAGACUAACAGGCGGGUGGAUCUCUGAGCUUCAGGCCAACCUCGUCUACACAGUGGGUUCCAGUACAGCCUGGGCUACAUAGAGUCCCUGUCUCAAGAAAAGAAAAAAGAAACUCCUCUAACACACAACACACACACACACACACACACACACACACCACAGAGACAGAGAGAGACAGAGAGAGAGAAAGAGAGAUGCGCGCCCACUAAAAUAAAAGUGACAGAUAAUGGAUGUUUAGGAGGCGAACUUUUCCGUUCCAACACUCCACUCAGACCCGCCACACCCUGAGAGUGAAGGGGCUGCAUUAAUGCACAAAAGAAGGUGAAAAAUUGGGUAUCCUCAGCGACCAGAGACUUCCUUUUGAUGGCUGGCCAGGCCUUCCUUGAAGGGCUGACUUUCAGAAUCCACGAAGUUCCAAGCGGAGGGGGAGAAUCGUUUCCCAAACAAGACUCCCCAAACAACGGAGCUAAACAGGUAAACGCAACCACCCACGGAACCAAAGCCAACUUCUCUCGCUGCAGGGUCUGCAGAGCAGGCGAGUGGCCUGGAAUUGCAGCACCAGGUCAAACUCAACGAACCCAAGCCAAACCUCCCGAGCUGCAGGUCCGGUCGGCCCGAAGGUGUGCAGGAUGCCACACACCGGAGGCGCCCGGCUCACCUUGCCCCCACUCGCUAAGCAGAAAGCACGCGCGCGGCGGCGUGGCCUGUGGGCCACCCACAGCAAGCUAAGGGGCGGCCACCCGGGUCCCGAGCGCCGACUCCGAGGCUCCGGAGCUCCGCGGCCUAGAGUGACACGCGCAGAGAGAGGCUGCGGAGACUGCGCGCGCGGGCUGCUCAGCGGCAGCACCGCGGGGCUCACGAGGCCCCGGGAGCGGCGCCACUCACCGAGCAGCCGGCGCACCUCGUCCUCGCUCAGGUGGGAUUCUUCGACUUGUGAUCUUCUUUUCAUGCUGGUGUGGCGGCCUCAAGAGAGCGCAGGGCCUGAACAGAGGUGGAGCAGGACAGUGGGAAUGGCCUGUGACUCCUUAUUCAUCAACUUCCUUACGCCUGGGCAGACUUAUGUGAGAAGGAAGUUUCUGUCAUACUGGAGUCACUGGGAACUCUGCCGCGAUGGCUUUUUCUUACCGGACUCAAAGUGUUUGAUCUGUUUAUCAAAACACAGGCCUUUAUUUAGGGAGAAAGCCUACAGAGUCUUCUGAAUAAAGCCACCUGCAGGUCUGCACUUGAUUUGAGCUCAUUCACAUUCCAAGCAACUGUUCCCUGAGGGUUGGUUUCCUUCAUGAUCUCAUAACCACUGGUUAUUUGUCACCCUGGUCUUGUGUAUUGUGAACUUAAAAAAAGAAAAAAUUCUCUGGAUGGAUGGUUUGCCUACAUGUGUGUCUGAGCAUCAUUUCCAUGCCUGGUGCCGUGGAGCCAGAAGAACCUGGAAAUUGAAUUACAGACAGCUGUGAGCUACCACACGGGUGCUGGGAUUUGAACCCAGGUCCUCUGGAAGAGUAAUGAGUGCUCUUAACCACUCUACCAUCUCUCCAGCCACGUGUGUCUUGGAGGUGCAGGUUCUAGUGGUGUGCUCUGGGGAGCACAUAGACCCUCUGUGGGUUCAUUUCCUACCCAUGCUUUCUCGAUCCUGGGGUUACUUGCUGCCAGGACAUCCUUCUACCUCCCUGGCCUCAGCUCAGAAGUCACUCUCCAGGGGACAACUCUGCUACUGCCUGCUCAGCACAGGAGGAACAGAAUGAAGAUCCUCCAUCCAGAUGCUCUAAAUUAAACGCGCUGGUGUUUGCCCAGGGGCACCUUCCCCUUCCUUGAGUCCCUUGACCCUGAACUUGGAGCUGUUCCAAAGUCACUCCCACCUCCAAAGCGGGACCUUCUCUGGGUGUGUUUUCCGCCGUGGUUUUCUCUGGUCUUGUUUUGCUGCUAAGUUGAUACCAUCUGCUUUCUUUUACAUGAUUUCUCAAUUUUUUGAGGGGAUCCAUUCAUAAGAAAUAAAAUGUUUCUGCAUGACAAAAUAACUAUAAACAAAGGCAAAAAACAGAAGACAGAAAUCUUUGCAGUUUCACCGCAGUCGAAGAACUGUGUUAUGUGAGGAACUUUUGCCAGCUGACAUAAACAGACAUUGGUGUGCACACAUACACACAUCUACAGUUCAACAACAAUAAGAAUAGGCAAAAAAAAAAAAAAACCCAGACAAUCUACAGAAAAUGCAAAUAAUUUGGAAAUGUAUUAAAACGCUUAAUUCUAAAUGUCUUUUAAAAAUAUUUAUUUAUUUUUAUUUUACAUGUAUGGGUAUUUUGCCCAUGUGUUUGUCUGUAUACCACUUGCAUGCAGUCCCUACAAAGGACAGAAGAAGUGUCAGAUGCCCUAGAACUGGAGUUACAGAUGGUUGUGAGCCACCAUGUGGAUGCUGGGAAUCAAACCCUGGCCCUCUGGAACAGCAGUCAGUAUUUUUAAAGCUGAGCAGUCUCUCCAGCCUCCUUAACCAUAGUGAAAAGAAAAAUUAACCUUCCUUAAUCAAUAAUCUAUAUUUUAACCUAUUAGAAUCUAAUCUAAUAAUUAGAUGGUGUGAUGGUUUGAAUAAAAAUGAUCCCUAUAGGUUCAUAGGGAGUGACACUAUUAGGAGUUGUGGCUUAGUUGGAGUAGGUGUGGCUUUGUUGGAGGGAGUGCCUCACUAGGGUGGUGGGCUUUGAGGUCUCAGAAACUCAAGCCAGACCUUUUCCUGAUGCCUGUAGAUCAAAGUGUAGAACUCUCAGCUCCUUCUCCAGCACCAUGUCUGCCUGCAUGCUGCUAUGCUUCCUGCCAUGACGAUAACGAACUAAACCUCUGAAACUAUAAGCAAGCCCCCAUUUAAAUGUUUACCUUUAUAAGAGUUGCCAUGGGCUGGGCAGUGGUGGUGCAUGCCUUUAAUCUCAGCACUCGGGGAGGCAGAGGCAGGCGGAGCUCUGUGAGUUCAAGGCUGUUACACAGAGAAACCCUGUCUCAAAAAACCAACCAAAAAAACACUGUGACCAAUAGAAACUGAACCAGGUUCUAGCAGUUUAACAGCGUGGUAUUGGUCACAGUGUGGACCAGUUUCUAACAGUUCGACAGCGUGGUAUUGGUCACAGUGUGGGGAAACAGGUACUUCCAUACAUGAUUGAUGGAGUGAAAAUCACUGGAGGCUCCUGUACAGAUAAUUUGACAAUUAUCUAUCCAUUUCACAGGCGUACAUUCUUUCCAGCUCAGCUCUUCCACUUCUAGUACUUCAACCUGAAGAUGUGUUUGUACAUUAGGUGCACAAAUGAGGCUACUGUCCUAGGUAGCUUUUUAUAGCUGUGAUAAACACCAGGACCAAAAGCAACUUGGGAGAGAAUGGGUUUAUUCCAUCUUAUGCUUCCACAUCACAGUUCAUCAUUGAGGGGACUCAGGGUAAGAACUCAAACAGGAACCUGGAGGCAGAAACUAAAGGAGAGGCCAUGAAACGCCUUUCUCUGGCUUCCUCAGCUUGUUUUCUUAGACAACCCAGGACCACCACCUGUCCAGGGGCAGCACUGCCUACAGUGAGCUGGACCCUCCUCAUUCAAUCGUCAAUCUAGAAAAUGCGCUCCCCCUCCCCAGAGUUGCUCAGAGGCCAACCUGAUGGAACCAGUUCCUCAACUGAGGUUUCCUCUUGCCAGAUGACUUGAGUUUGUGUCAAGUUGAAAACUGCCAACCAAUGCAGUCACCCCCUGCACUGUUUUCAUAUGAUUACAGAAGUCACUGGGAAGAACCCGCCCGUCAGCAGUGCGGUGUGUCACAAGCCACGGUGAGUGCACCUGAGUUUAUGGCCAUAAAGAAAACCGAGAAGCCUCUUUCAUGUAUGGAUUCUAUAUGAGAGCCAGAGAAAGAGCAGGGUGGCAUAGAGGGCAAGAAGAGGAACAAAAAUACAGUUCGGAUGCUUGAGUUUGCUGCUCACAGCUGACACCAACUGAGAGUGACUGCCUGGGGCAAAUGCUGAAAGAGAAACUUCCCUGCAGACCAAUGGAACAUUCUAGGCCUUCAGAUCCAGCUGAGUGCUCUUCUUUCAUCAAAGUUUGCUUUCUGAUUCUCAGAGCCCAGAAAUGGCAUGGUAUUAACUAGAUACUUUCUUGUUUUCCGCCUCCGUGGUAUCUCUGAAAAUGGAACGCAAGAACUAAGAAUGGGAGGACAGAUUGUCUCAAGGAGAAACAGAGACACCCAUUGUCCUUGAUCUGAAGAUGGUGUCCUGGAAAGGAUAAAACAGGUCCAUGAACAGAAGGACAACAGGAACCAAUGAGAGCCGAGAUGGGAUGGAUUUCAUUUCAUCUACACUGGCCUUGAUCUCCAUGUAUGAUGAAGGAUGACCUUCUGAUCUUCCUGCCUUCAGCUCCAGAAUGCUGCGAUUAUAGGAAUGUACCUUACACACUGUUUUAUGUGGUACUGGAGAUGGAAAGCAGAACUCCCUGAAUGCUGGGCAAGCUUUCUGUCAGCUGAGUGACAUCCCCAGCUCAGAGCAGGAACUUUUUA